CGCCGCAUGACAUGAAGGCGGCUUCAGAGCACCUGGCGUCUUUCACGCUGCGCCGCAGCAACUGUAUUCGCUCCCACGUUGUCCGCCCAGUGCUCAUUUAAGUUCCUUUUGUGUCCCAGACGCUCACUGGUAUGGCUGCGUACUAAUCUCCACCUGAUGCACUCAAUGUCCACGCUGGUAAUCCUCGUGGUAGCGUCGAUCCCUCCGACCCACGCUGAUUGUCUGAAGCGUCCUGACCGGUGCUGAGUCUGCGGUGGCGGAUUGGUGUCCCAGGUGGUGGUGUCCGUUAUGUUUAGCAUGUUUGAGUUGCUUCACUUAGUUUCACCGUCCAUCAAGUCUCUGCCCUGAUUGGUUCCCCCGUUGCUUGUUCCAGAGUGAAGAGGUUUUUACACCGUUAAUUUAAUAAAAUUACAUUGUGUUUUAAAUUAAGUCUCAUUUGCGACGAACCUGAGUGCCUCCCCUUAGUUUUGUUUGGA
Molecule: long non-coding RNA, 476 nt
Organism: Gasterosteus aculeatus aculeatus (three-spined stickleback)
Lineage: Eukaryota; Metazoa; Chordata; Actinopteri; Perciformes; Gasterosteidae
Source: Ensembl